UAUGUAAUUAGUGGCGGAGUAAUUUCCAGAUAAACGUACGUCUUUAUAUCUACGUUUAUUUGGAAACUAUCCCGGCACAAUUACCAU
RNAcentral lists this microRNA precursor (87 nucleotides) under Plutella xylostella (diamondback moth). RNAcentral describes it as "microRNA pxy-mir-8539 precursor (pxy-mir-8539-1, pxy-mir-8539-2)". The record is from miRBase by way of RNAcentral. Lineage: Eukaryota; Metazoa; Arthropoda; Insecta; Lepidoptera; Plutellidae.